Molecule: non-coding RNA, 341 nt
Organism: Xyrichtys novacula (pearly razorfish)
Lineage: Eukaryota; Metazoa; Chordata; Actinopteri; Labriformes; Labridae
Source: the annotation of a GenBank genome assembly
AAAAAAAAAACUGUCUGCUGGGUCCAUAGCUGGUCAGUUCAUUGUAUGCCGAUGCCUCUGUAUGUCUUCAGUGUCCCAUCAUGGUUUUUCUCCUCUGUGCAUUUUCUUGGAUUUUGAAUUUUAAAUUUUUGAGUUCGACAUUUUCUAGUAAGCUUUUGUUGCCUUUUAUUUAGUUAUUUUUUCAUUAAACCACUUUUAGUUCUGCAACUGGGUCCUUUUUCAGUUUGUUUGGCUCCGGACUGUGACAUAUUGUUCACCAUUAAUAGUAUAGUCCCAUGUUUGCAAGCGCAUCAGUGAUUUUUGGCUCAUUCAUGUAUUUCCACUACAGAGUCAUAUCUGUU